UGCGGAGGAUGCGAGCGUUAUCCGGAUUUAUUGGGUUUAAAGGGUGCGUAGGCGGCUUAGUAAGUCAGCGGUGAAAUUUUGCAGCUUAACUGUAACAGUGCCGUUGAUACUGCCAGGCUAGGAUUUGGUUGCUGUGGGUGGAAUGUGUGGUGUAGCGGUGAAAUGCUUAGAUAUCACACAGAAUAUCGAUUGCGAAGGCAGCUCACAAAGCCAAGAUUGACGCUGAGGCACGAAAGUGUGGGGAUCAAACA
RNAcentral lists this ribosomal RNA (251 nucleotides) under uncultured prokaryote. Its description in RNAcentral is "partial 16S ribosomal RNA". It matches the Rfam family "Bacterial small subunit ribosomal RNA", at positions 524 to 774 of the family's 1533-position model. The record is from RNAcentral.